ACGGAAGGCAGCAGUGGGGAAUAUUGCACAAUGGGCGAAAGCCUGAUGCAGCGACGCCGCGUGAGUGAAGAAGUAUCUCGGUAUGUAAAGCUCUAUCAGCAGGGAAGAAAAUGACGGUACCUGACUAAGAAGCCCCGGCUAACUUUGUGCCAGCAGCCGCGGUAAUACGUAGGGGGCAAGCGUUAUCCGGAUUUACUGGGUGUAAAGGGAGCGUAGACGGUUUGGCAAGUCUGAAGUGAAAUGCGGGGGCUCAACUCCUGAACUGCUUUGGAAACUGUCGAACUAGAGUGCAGGAGGGGUAAGUGGAAUUCCUAGUGUAGCGGUGAAAUGCGUAGAUAUUAGGAGGAACACCAGUGGCGAAGGCGGCUUACUAGACUGUAACUGACGUUGAGGCUCGAAAGCGUGGGGAGCAAACAGGAUUAGAUACCCUGGUA
RNAcentral lists this ribosomal RNA (434 nucleotides) under uncultured Clostridium sp. RNAcentral's name for it is "partial 16S ribosomal RNA". It matches the Rfam family "Bacterial small subunit ribosomal RNA", at positions 341 to 792 of the family's 1533-position model. Lineage: Bacteria; Bacillati; Bacillota; Clostridia; Eubacteriales; Clostridiaceae. The record is from RNAcentral.